UACGUAUUGUGCGAACGUUAUUCGGAAUCACUGGGCUUAAAGGGUGUGUAGGCGGCCGGACAAGUAGGGUGUGAAAGGCCUCGGCUCAACCGGGGCAUUGCGCUCUAGACUGUCUGGCUCGAGCAAGAUAGGGGUGUGUGGAACUUCCAGUGGAGCGGUGAAAUGUGUUGAUAUUGGAAGGAACGCCGGUGGCGAAAGCGGCACACUGGGUCUUGUCUGACGCUGAGACACGAAAGCCAGGGGAGCGAGCGGG
RNAcentral lists this ribosomal RNA (253 nucleotides) under uncultured bacterium. RNAcentral describes it as "partial 16S ribosomal RNA". It matches the Rfam family "Bacterial small subunit ribosomal RNA", at positions 524 to 776 of the family's 1533-position model. The record is from RNAcentral.